AACCUGCGGAGGAUCAUUAUCGAGUUUUGAACGGGUUGUCUGCUGGCUCGCAAGGGCUUGCACGCCUGUCUCAUCCACUCUCAACUUCUGUGCACUUUUCAUAGGCCGGCUUGUGGGUGCGUUCGCGCACUUGUAGGUGUCGGGCUUAUGCUUUAUUACAAACGAUUCAGUUUUAGAUGUCAUACUUUGCUAUAACGCAAUUUAUAUACAACUUUCAGCAACGGAUCUCUUGGCUCUCGCAUCGAUGAAGAACGCAGCGAAAUGCGAUAAGUAAUGUGAAUUGCAGAAUUCAGUGAUCAUCGAAUCUUUGAACGCACCUUGCGCUCCUUGGUAUUCCGAGGAGCAUGCCUGUUUGAGUCUCAUGGAAUUCUCAACCUUCAGCUUUAUUGAUGAAGGCUUGGACUUGGAGGUCGUGCGGCUCUCGUAGUCGGCUCCUCUGAAAUGCAUUAGUGCGAACGUUACCAGCCGCUUCAGGUGAUAAUUAUCUGCGUUGCUGUGGAGGGUAUUCUAGUGUUCACGCUUCUAACCGUCUCGGACAAAUUUCUGAACUCUGAGCUCAAAUCAGGUAGGACUCCCGCUGAAC
RNAcentral lists this ribosomal RNA (583 nucleotides) under Rhizoctonia solani. Its description in RNAcentral is "eukaryotic LSU rRNA". The stretch from base 210 to 362 matches the Rfam family "5.8S ribosomal RNA". Lineage: Eukaryota; Fungi; Basidiomycota; Agaricomycetes; Cantharellales; Ceratobasidiaceae. The record is from RNAcentral.